CAGUCGCCGCGGUAAAACGGAGGGGGCUAGCGUUGUUCGGAAUUACUGGGCGUAAAGCGCACGUAGGCGGCUUGGUAAGUUAGAGGUGAAAGCCUGGAGCUCAACCCCAGAAUUGCCUUUAAGACUGCCGAGCUAGCAGGUGAGAGAGGUAAGUGGAAUUCCGAGUGUAGAGGUGAAAUUCGUAGAUAUUCGGAAGAACACCAGUGGCGAAGGCGGCUUACUGGCUCAUACUGGACGCUGAGGUGCGAAAGCGUGGGGAGCAAACAGGAUUAGAUACCCGCGUAGUCCCUGUCUCUUAUAC
Molecule: ribosomal RNA, 301 nt
Filed under: uncultured bacterium
Lineage: Bacteria
Description: partial 16S ribosomal RNA
Rfam family: Bacterial small subunit ribosomal RNA
Source: RNAcentral